ACCUCUCAACCCCGCCAAAGGCUUUAUUAACUUUGGUUGUUUGGGCUUGGAUCAUGGUCUCUUGUUGUGACUUUUGUUAGAAACAACUGGACUGAAAUACAACAAGUUGGAUAAACCCUAUUGCGGCUUGACCUGAUGUUGUAAUUUACUCAUCGGGGACGCGAAAGGUUGUUUAAGGAACUUUAACAGAAACCCUUAUGUUGUUUAAAGUCUUUCGGGACUCUAUUCAAUACAU
RNAcentral lists this unclassified non-coding RNA (235 nucleotides) under Kondoa yuccicola. RNAcentral describes it as "partial internal transcribed spacer 2". The record is from RNAcentral. Lineage: Eukaryota; Fungi; Basidiomycota; Agaricostilbomycetes; Agaricostilbales; Kondoaceae.